RNA transcript from Ictalurus furcatus (blue catfish), 3918 nucleotides. It is a transcript of the gene named ligand of numb-protein X 2b, with no coding region annotated. Lineage: Eukaryota; Metazoa; Chordata; Actinopteri; Siluriformes; Ictaluridae. The transcript has 13 exons. The record is from RefSeq and is a predicted model, not a curated record.
UUGGUUUGUUUUUGAAACUGCGUCGUCAACGGAAUAAAACUACUUGCAGGAAUAUCCCGUGGAGUCCUUAUGGUUAACGGAGGUUAUAUCAGUUCCCUGACAGGACAGUCUUUUCGUUAGGGGACUUUGUCUCAGCUGAAACAAGUCAUUUACCCUCAUAUCAGCCUCCAAGUACUUUGUUUUAUUGCCCACUUCCGGGACAGACUCUCAGAAAUGUAAGCUGAGUAGACAAAGAGAACGGACAUCUCUUCGUUGUUUGGAUUGAACACUUGUCUCGAGAGAUUUUGCGCCUGACAAGGCUCAGAUAGAGAGUGGAAGUUUGAGGACACGUCUCCAAUCUAGAGCGAGUAGAGCUCGCUGGACCAUGGCGGAGCAGAAGGCACUGGCAUCGCCGGGUGGCUUGACCUGGUCGCGGGUGUGCAAAGAGUGUGGCCAGUGCCACGAGAACCAAGAAAGUCAUGUUUAUGAGUACCAGGAUGAGGUGGAUGAUGAGUUGGUGUGUCACAUAUGUCUACAGCCACUGCUCCAGCCUGUGGACACGCCAUGUGGACACACAUACUGUCUGCAGUGCUUGAGCAGCUUCUUGCGUGAACAGGACUUCUGCCCAGUGGACCGGCAACGAGUGACAUUGCAACAGUGUCGGUCCGCCAGCCUGCUGGUGCGCAACCUGCUCGAUAAGCUCACCGUGCUGUGCCCUUUCCACAAUGAGUGCCAGCAGAGCAUGCAGCGCUGUGAGCUACAGCCUCAUUUGCACAACAGAUGCCCUGCAUUCAGGCGGCUCAGGGAAGAGUCUGAGAAGAGGAAGAGACCCCCCUGGAAUGAAUUGAAGGGAAGCAAGACAGAUGAAGACUCUGACACCAAAUCCAACCCAGCACCCACACGUACAUCUAAUCCUCGUGCACCCCCGGACCCUGGCAUGGCCAAUCCUGCCUUUGAGGAGGCAGAUGAUGGAGCUCCCCUCAGGUCCAGUCUUGUUUCAGAAGCAAGCAUUGUGGAGCUGUUUCGUGAGGAACCAGGGGAAGAUUUGGGUUUGCGCAUAGUUGGAGGGAAGGACACACCCUUGGGGAAUAUUGUCAUUCAGGAGAUUGUGCGUGACUCGGUGGCUGCCCGUGAUUCCAGACUCGCCCCAGGGGAUCACAUUCUAGAGGCGAAUGAUGUGAGCCUUGCCUCUGUCCCUCAUGUACAAGCCAUCGCUGUGCUGCGGCGGCCAUGUUCUGUUCUCAGGCUUACAGUUAUGCAAGAGAAGGGCUUCAAGCCAAGGCCCGAGCACCACGUGCAGCCUUCUAACUCUCCUGUGGUUCAACCUUCAAACAGUCCGGGCACGGUGAUCCAGGUGGCACUGGUGAAACGUGAGCGCGCCGAGCCCCUCGGCAUCAAGCUUAUCCGCAAGUCAGAUGAACUAGGUGUCUUCAUCCUAGACCUGUUACCAGGAGGCCUGGCUGCCAAAGAUGGCAAACUGCGCAACAAUGACAAAGUUCUGGCCAUCAACGGCCAUGAUUUGAGACAUGGUACACCAGAGAGCGCCGCUCAGAUCAUCCAGGCAAGUGAAGUACGAGUGAAUUUUGUGGUAAUGAGGCAGCCAGAGCCCAUUGAAGAGGGAAGUGAGCUGCAGAGUAGAGGAGCCAGGAGAAGUGCCGAGAACCAGUAUUUCAGACGGCGCUCCACAUUCAUGAAGGAUCCUCCUGGUGGAUUCUCCAGUCAGGAAAAGACAGUGAGUCUGAAGAAAGAGCCACGACAUUCACUGGGCAUUACAAUUGCUGGUGGGAGGGACGGCCGCUGUCGUCUGCCUGUGUACAUUACCAGUGUGCAGCCAGUGGGCUGUCUGCACAGAGAUGGUACCAUCAAACCAGGUGAUGUGUUGCUGAGCAUCAAUGGUGUUGACCUGACCCAGCUGACUUAUAAUGAAGCGGUGUCUGUGCUGAAGACACAGACAGCCCAGAGCUCUGUGACGCUACGCGUCAUCCGCACCACUGCAGAGGAGGAAGAGCAGGAUGCAGAGGCAGCAAAUCAAGAAGAAAUGGACACAGUGGAGAACCCCAGAGAGGAUGAAAUCAACUGCUCCCCUCUGUGGACCCGCUGGCUGGGCCUACCCAGCCACAUGCACUGGUGUCGUGACAUCGUGUUGUUAAAAACCAACAACGAGAGCUGGGGCUUCAGUAUUGUGGGAGGAUAUGAAGAAAGUCGAGGUCAACAGCCCUUCUUCAUAAAGACCAUAGUGCCUGGAACUCCCGCCCACUCUGAUGGUCGUCUCAAGUGCGGUGAUGAAAUUGUGGCUGUGAAUGGAGCAACUACAGUGGGCAUGAACAAUUCAUCCCUGAUUCCUAUGCUGAAGCUUCAGAGGAAUAAAGUCACACUUACUGUAGUAUCCUGGCCUGGCAGUAUCGUAUAACAUCUGACUGUUCUUUCUGGUCUCUGAUGUGACCUUUUUGAAGCUGGUUUUGGCGAUUUUGAUAUCCAAUACGGAUCAAUAAUCACAGACUGGAUUUAAAACAAAAUCAAAGGAAUAUCAGGACACGUUUUCCUCCUUCCUUGUGGAACUGUGCUUAUUUGAGAUAUGUAGGAUACUUUUAAGCACAUGGACACUGGAAACUAUUUCUGCACCUUCAGUUUCUAAUUCGAGAUCAUCAACAAACAUUGAUAGUCAGUCUUAUUGAACAUUUACUUUCCUUGAGUAACAGCAAUCAUUUUCUUGUGUGUGUGUGUGUGUGUGUGUGUGUGUGUGUGUGUGUGUGUGUGUGUGUGUGUGUGUGUUGUGCUUAGGAACUUGCACCAAUGCUGUACUACUCCGAUGACUAUGUUCAGAAACUCUUGCUGGGCCUUUUAAAGUGUUAAGAGGACUUUUCUGUGAAAUCUAUCUGAUUGAGGGGGGGCACAGACACAGAACACACCACAGACCUUUUUUUAGGUGGAGACCAGGCUGCAUGAACAUAUUUCAGUGUCUGUUUCAAGGUUUGAACUUUUCAGUAACAUCAUGGACAGCAGGAAACAUAACCCUAAGUGAAAAAGUGAAAGUUGUGUUUCAAAUCAGUUUGUUAUUGUUUUUUAACAAUAUAUACAAGACUUGAAAUCAACACCCCAUCAAAUUACCCGUCUUUGAAAUCAAGAGAAACAUUUACAGGUGCUCUGCAGUAGAACGGUAAGAGAUUUGUCUCGCUCCAAAUAAUUAGGCAAAGUUUAGGUGUCUUUUAGUACAGCUUUCCCCAAACAUUCUGCUCAAUUCAAGAGGCACUCUAAUCCAACAGGCUGACAUAUAGAAAAAUGAAGAAAAACAAGGCAGGCGUAACAACAGAGAGUCUGCAUACACAUGAAAAAGGAGUGUGAAAGUCCACGUCUCUGCAUCUGUAUAACAGCAUAUGGACUUCACCAAAAACUGCAAUUUGCUGAUUUGAAGCUGAAAUGUACAAACGCAAGAGGAAAGAGACUACAAAACAAUACCUACAAGGUGGAAUUAACUUUGAAAUUGAUGAGAUAUAUACUACUUAAAUCUUGAUUGGCAAAAUCGUUUUUACACAUGACAUUAAAAAAAAAAAAAAACACACACACACCUCAGGGACAUUCAACUGAAAGCCUGAUGUCCUCGUGUGCUCAAGUGCAAUUUUCAGCCCUCACUUUGACUGGCAUGUUGUACAUACAUUUUAUGGCUUACUAGGUAAACGGGUCCAUAUAGACUGGAAAGUUACAGAGAUGCAGUUUAUAAACAAAACUAUGUUACAAUAAUAGAUUGGCAGAAAACUAAUUGCCAGCUAAAUUACAUAAUGUAAACAUGAAAUACUAGGCUGUACAUCUUGUCCAAAAUUAUAUUCAAAUGGUCUGUUUCUUUAACUUGCCCCUGUUUAGAGGCCCAUCACCAAAGUGCAAACGGAAAUAAAAAAAUCAUGCUGACAAACAUUUUAGCUACUUUAAAUUCCCUACCCAUUC